GAUGAACGCUGGCGGCGUGCUUAACACAUGCAAGUCGAGCGAACAGACGAGGAGCUUGCUCCUCUGACGUUAGCGGAGGACGGGUGAGUAACAUGUGGAUCAUCUCCCUAUAAGACUGGGAUAACUUCGGGAAACCGGAGCUAAUACCGUAGAAUCUAUUGCACCGUGUGGGGGAAUAGUAAAAUUCGGCUUUGCGGUCACGUAUCGAUGGAUAUGGGCCGGUUUGGAUGGUUGGGAAGGAAAAGGGUUACUAAGGGGACGAGGCGUGGCCGACUGGCGAGGGUGAUAGCCGACAUGAGAAGUGGAACGGGGUCCAGAGUCCUACGGGACGGAGCAGUAUGGAAUCUUCCGCAAUGGGCGGAAGCCUUACAGAGCAACGCCGCGUGAGUGAUGAAAGUCCUCGGAUCGUAAAACUCUGUUAUUGGGGAAGAACAAAUGUGUAAGUAAAUGUACACGUCUUGACGGUACCUGAUCAAGAAGCCACGGCUAACUACGUG
This 497-nucleotide ribosomal RNA is filed under the name uncultured bacterium. Its description in RNAcentral is "partial 16S ribosomal RNA". It matches the Rfam family "Bacterial small subunit ribosomal RNA", at positions 28 to 507 of the family's 1533-position model. The record is from RNAcentral.